CUACAAUAAUUUGAUUUUGCACCCUGGUGGAAGACACUUUUGAACUGUGAGUGCAGAUACACAGAGGAGCUUACUCGUGUGUGGAUGAUGAUAGAACUUCCUUCCCACAAUCAAGCUGUUACAAGUAGCGCAGCUACCAUGGCAGUAGCAUCCAGGUUUGGUUGCUGGUAUCCACGUUCGUGGCUGACAACUAUGUACUGGAUUAGUUUUAACAAGCCAAACCCUCAGGUUCUUUGCCCUUCUAUAUACCACCCUGGGGGGUGGGCCUUCCUGAAAUGGUAAAGUGCUGUCUGAGGCCAAUAUGUGCCAAUUUUUCAUGAUCACCUUCUUAGCCAUUGGUGAAGCUGGAGUAUACAUGGUAAUAAAAUUCAUCCUGGGAAUCACCUGUUUGUUCCUGCGUUCCAGUAUUUGGACCUGUGUCAAUGUCCAUCAUCUAUCUUGUUUAUAAUGUGUAAUGAGAAUGAGGAAGGGUAUACCAGUCCAAGAUAAGAGGAAAAGUUUUCCUUUUCACAGUUUGUGCUUGCAUUUUUUUUUUUUAUUAAAUCAUUUUUAUUUUGUUUUUAAACAGGUGUACAGAAAUAACAAUCCAAUAAAAGUUUCUACAUACAUCAAAUACAGUUUAACCGAAAUAUAGACUGUUGCAUCUUGAAACAGGGUGUACAGUGUGUGUGAAUUUACCAUAAGGUUCUAAACAUCAAUGGCCCGAUCAACAAACCUCAAAACAGUGUACAUAAUUCUAGACAUAAUAAUGAGUUUUUGUUUUUGCUUUGGUUUGAUUUUUAUUUUUACCUCUGUUCCCAAAUGUAUAACAUAUCUGCAAUAAAGUCUUGCUUUCCCAUAAA
Long non-coding RNA from Bombina bombina (fire-bellied toad), 842 nucleotides. RefSeq lists it as uncharacterized. The record is from RefSeq and is a predicted model, not a curated record. NCBI's taxonomy places the organism in Eukaryota, Metazoa, Chordata, Amphibia, Anura, Bombinatoridae. The transcript has 2 exons.